This 165-nucleotide ribosomal RNA is filed under the name uncultured bacterium. Its description in RNAcentral is "partial 16S ribosomal RNA". It matches the Rfam family "Bacterial small subunit ribosomal RNA", at positions 1335 to 1500 of the family's 1533-position model. The record is from RNAcentral.
CUAGUAAUCGCAGGUCAGCAUACUGCGGUGAAUACGUUCCCGGGUCUUGUACACACCGCCCGUCACACCAUGGGAGCCGGUAAUACCCGAAGUCAGUAGUCCAACCACGUGAGGACGCUGCCGAAGGUAGGAUUGGCGACUGGGGUGAAGUCGUAACAAGGUAGC